UACGUAGGUGGCGAGCGUUGUCCGGAAUUACUGGGCGUAAAGGAUGCGUAGGCGGAAUCUUAAGUCAGAUGUGAAAUCCCCGAGCUUAACUUGGGAAUGGCAUUUGAAACUGGGGUUCUAGAGUGCAGGAGAGGAAAGCGGAAUUCCUAGUGUAGCGGUGAAAUGCGUAGAUAUUAGGAAGAACACCAGUGGCGAAGGCGGCUUUCUGGACUGUAACUGACGCUGAGGCAUGAAAGCGUGGGGAGCAAACAGG
Molecule: ribosomal RNA, 253 nt
Filed under: uncultured bacterium
Lineage: Bacteria
Description: partial 16S ribosomal RNA
Rfam family: Bacterial small subunit ribosomal RNA
Source: RNAcentral